This 465-nucleotide ribosomal RNA is filed under the name uncultured bacterium. Its description in RNAcentral is "partial 16S ribosomal RNA". It matches the Rfam family "Bacterial small subunit ribosomal RNA", at positions 28 to 507 of the family's 1533-position model. The record is from RNAcentral.
GACGAACGCUGGCGGCGUGCUUAACACAUGCAAGUCGAACGGAAAGGCCCCUUUGGGGGUCCUCGAGUGGCGAACGGGUGAGUAACACGUGAGUAACCUGCCCUUGACUUCGGGAUAACUUCAGGAAACUGGGGCUAAUACCGGAUAGGAAUCCUUGCUGCAUGGUGGGGGUUGGAAAGCUUCGGCGGUUUUGGAUGGACUCGCGGCUUAUCAGCUUGUUGGUGGGGUAGUGGCUUACCAAGGCUUUGACGGGUAGCCGGCCUGAGAGGGCGACCGGCCACAUUGGGACUGAGAUACGGCCCAGACGCCUACGGGAGGCAGCAGUGGGGAAUAUUGCACAAUGGGCGGAAGCCUGAUGCAGCAACGCCGCGUGCGGGAGGACGGCCCUCGGGUUGUAAACCGCUUUCAGCAGGGGCGAAGCUUGUGGUGACGGUACCUGCAGAAGAAGCACCGGCUAACUACGUG